AUCCAGUUUAUCUAUAUUGAUAUUAUCACAAGACACUAAUAAAAUAUUGAAAUUAAAUUCUUCUUCUUCUUCAUCGCAUCUAUUUCGAGUCAGCUAUCCUCAUUCUAAAGGUUCACUUGAUCCGAACCCCAGCGCACAUAUACCGAUUGUCUUCUUAUCAUUCUCAAUCACAUCCAACCAACUCCUUUUCAGUCUUCUUCUCCACCUCUUUCUCU
This is a non-coding RNA of Cinara cedri, 215 nucleotides long. The record is from the annotation of a GenBank genome assembly. NCBI's taxonomy places the organism in Eukaryota, Metazoa, Arthropoda, Insecta, Hemiptera, Aphididae.